Molecule: long non-coding RNA, 2587 nt
Organism: Carassius auratus (goldfish)
Lineage: Eukaryota; Metazoa; Chordata; Actinopteri; Cypriniformes; Cyprinidae
Source: Ensembl
AUGUAUGUAUAUGUUAAUAUUUUAUUGAAACCAUUGAUGUCCCUCUUUGCAGAACUCAAACUAACUGGAGUUAAGGACACAGAAGUCUGCUUGUGUGAGGAGGUGGUUUUCUCAGCUUCUUUGGAAGAGAGGGAAAGAUCGUUUAAGGUGUUAAAAGCAAGAGACAUGGGAGAGCAUCAUUCCUUUGAGAUUUUAUGUAAGUUAUUUUUAGAAAAUACAUUUUUCUGUUGUCUCCUGCCAGUUUACUUCACAUUUUGAUGCAACAACAGUGUGAUUACGUGCUCAUUUCAUUAAGACCAUUGAUGUCUGUGUUUUUUAUUGCAGAACUCAAACCAACUUUGGAGUUGUCUGAUUUGGAGAGUCAUUAUUCUUGGUCUUCGCUCUUAGAGGUAAAGUUCACACAAAAAAUCAUUUACUUGCCCUCAAGUCAUUCCAAACCUAUAAGACUUUUGUUUGUCUUUACAACAUAAAUUAAUAUAUUUUUAGUUUUCUCAUAAUAUUUGUUAAUCCAUUUAUAGUUUAGAUAAUCAGUAUUUUCAAGCUUCAUAAAUAUAGAGUUAUUGUAGAAGUAAAUUCUGAUAUUUAUAUAUGAAUACAUCUUAAAUUAUAUGAUAGCAAACAUGUAUGUUCAAAAUAAAAUACUGGUCUCCCAGACCAGCAAUGGAGGACACAAAAAGAGAAUAUUAAAUAUAUUCAUAUGUUUUCCAAAAAAUGAGCAGAUUUUGUAUGAGUCUGGAAAAACAUGAGGAGAGUAAAUUAUAAACAUUUUAAUUAUAUGGUGAACUAACGGUUUGAAGAGCAGCCCUCCAUGUACGUGAAUAUUGUGAGGUAUGUGAAUGUCAUGUCUGUUUUAAUGUUUCACUAAAGAAGCUUUCUGAAAGCAAUAUUUAUUCAAACAAUAUUGCAUGUCCUCACACUAGUGCUGCCAUUAUAGCCUCCUGGAGCGCUGUGGUGGACUGAGACAUUAAACAACCGCACAAAGUGUUGAAACUUUAAAACCGAUUAUUUACCUAUCCUUACGGAUGUGAAUACACCUCUACCUGAAAAUGGAUAGUUUAAUUAAAUGUUUAAUUUUUUCAAAUGUGUUUCUCUUAGGCCACUGAUGAAGAACAGGCGGUGACUGGAUGAAUCCUGGUCAGAGAGGAAAAUCUUCUUUCCCCUAAACAGCAGUGGUUUUAAAGGAGGACGCUGCCCUGGAUAAUAUAGAAGAUGUCACAUGCUGUGCUGAUGGGGUUUCUUCAUGAUUACAUCAGUUAUGCUAAAGAGAUCAUGAAAAUUGACUGUGAUGCAUGAUCUGUAUUCAUGGACUAUGAAACAAACUGUAAGUGUAUAAUUUGUUUAAAAAAAAAGUUAAAUGCUUUUUCUGUGUUGUUUAGUAGAAGAGUUUACACUCUGUCAUUCAUACACCUGCUCACAUUUUCACACACACACACACACACACACACAUGCGUCUGUUAAAUGUUAUAAUAUCAAAGUUAAUGUUGUGAUUUAUUUGUGUACUGUCAUGCCAGAAUAGUUGGAAAAAAACCUAACUAAUUGUAAAUUUAUUGUAUGUUGUUUUUGUAUAUUUUUAUACAAUAUAUACAAUUGAACAAAGUCCAAUUUGAUUUUAAGUUAUAUUCAUCAAAUGUUCAAUGCUUUGUUUAUGAACUCUGUAGCUGUUAAUGCCAUCCUUUUCUGCAUUUCUUCUAACAUGUUACUUUUUGACUUUUCUCUUGUUUUUAAUAAAUAUUUUCCUUUUGGUAAUUAUUAUUUGUGUGUAAAAGUGAUAUUUAAAAUGAACAACAUUUGUAGGUUUAAUGCCUAGCUCAAUUUGGGUUAAUUUUAACGUAGAAAUGCAUUGUUUCCCCACAUGGCUGCACUCUGUGAGUUUAUUUUCUGCCAGUAGGAGGCGCUAAGAGCGAGAGAGGUAGGUUUCUCCGGUAACGGCUGCAGAGCGGCGCUGAGCUCACUAACGCUGCCUUAUCAAGCACAUGCGAAAUGAUAUCGAACAUUUUCUAAAUACAGUAGUUUUCCUUCUGAAAUACACUGAUAAAAAAACACCUGCUCUGUUUUUUUAAACCCUGCAAUAUAGUCAUUUUAAACUAUAAAAAAGGCAACCCAGCAGGCUGGGUUAAAUAUGAUAACCCAACUGGUUGGGUUAAAACAACCCAGCGCUGGGUUCGUCCCUUUUUGACCCAGUGCUGGGUUGUCAAAAUAACCCAAAUUGGGUUGUUUUCAACCCAGCAGUUUUUAGAGUGCAGUGCUCAUGUAUACGCAUAGAGCAGCCUCACCUCGGCUAGACCUUCUGAUCUGUGCCGCUGGCUCUGAUGUGUCUUUAGUGGUUAAACAUAAAAUGUAAUUAGUCUUGGGUAAAUCUAACAGGUUACCUUUGGUCUGUAUUCAAUUUAUCUAUAUGUUAAAAUGAAAAUAAAAAUUGAAUUGAAUUGAAUGUGAAUUAGUUGUUUCUUCUGUUGAUUAGUUGAAUGUUAUAAUAAUGAUCAGAACAAUUAUUUUAACUACAGUCACUUUUUACUGGUUACCAGGUAAGUAUUUCUAGUGUAAUGCAAUCUAAGUUAUUUAAUAUACAUAUAUUGUUGUGCGCUCC